AAUGAACGUUGGCGGCAUGGAUUAGGCAUGCAAGUCGAACGCGAAAGAACUGGUGGUAACAUUAGUUCUUGAAAGCGGCGAAAGGGAGAGUAAUACGUAGGGUAUCUGCCCCCGGGACUGGGAUAGCGGCGGGAAACUGCCGGUAAUACCAGAUAAUGUCUCCGGACCAAAGGUGUGAUUCCACCUGGGGAUGAUCCUGCGUCCUAUUAGCUAGUUGGCGAGGUAAUGGCUCACCAAGGCGAAGAUGGGUAGCGGGCGUGAGAGCGUGGCCCGUCUCACUGGGACUGAGACACUGCCCAGACACCUACGGGUGGCUGCAGUCGAGAAUCUUCCGCAAUGGGCGAAAGCCUGACGGAGCGAUGCCGCGUGCGGGAUGAAGGCCUUCGGGUUGUAAACCGCUGUCAGUGGGGUGGAAAUUGGAAGAGGUUCUCCUCUUUAUUGACCUAACCGCAGAGGAAGUCCGGGCUAAGUACGUG
Molecule: ribosomal RNA, 476 nt
Filed under: uncultured bacterium
Lineage: Bacteria
Description: bacterial SSU rRNA
Rfam family: Bacterial small subunit ribosomal RNA
Source: RNAcentral